RNAcentral lists this ribosomal RNA (465 nucleotides) under Vreelandella stevensii. Its description in RNAcentral is "partial 16S ribosomal RNA". It matches the Rfam family "Bacterial small subunit ribosomal RNA", at positions 338 to 795 of the family's 1533-position model. Lineage: Bacteria; Pseudomonadati; Pseudomonadota; Gammaproteobacteria; Oceanospirillales; Halomonadaceae. The record is from RNAcentral.
CCUACGGGGUGCAGCAGUGGGGAAUAUUGGACAAUGGGCGAAAGCCUGAUCCAGCCAUGCCGCGUGUGUGAAGAAGGCCUUCGGGUUGUAAAGCACUUUCAGUGGGGAAGAAAGCCUUGGGGCUAAUACCCUCGAGGAAGGACAUCACCCACAGAAGAAGCACCGGCUAACUCCGUGCCAGCAGCCGCGGUAAUACGGAGGGUGCGAGCGUUAAUCGGAAUUACUGGGCGUAAAGCGCGCGUAGGCGGUCUGAUAAGCCGGUUGUGAAAGCCCCGGGCUCAACCUGGGAACGGCAUCCGGAACUGUCAGGCUAGAGUGCAGGAGAGGAAGGUAGAAUUCCCGGUGUAGCGGUGAAAUGCGUAGAGAUCGGGAGGAAUACCAGUGGCGAAGGCGGCCUUCUGGACUGACACUGACGCUGAGGUGCGAAAGCGUGGGUAGCAAUCAGGAUUAGAUACCCCUGUAGUC